RNAcentral lists this ribosomal RNA (571 nucleotides) under Naganishia albida. RNAcentral describes it as "LSU rRNA". It matches the Rfam family "Eukaryotic large subunit ribosomal RNA", at positions 46 to 621 of the family's 3401-position model. The record is from RNAcentral. Lineage: Eukaryota; Fungi; Basidiomycota; Tremellomycetes; Filobasidiales; Filobasidiaceae.
AUAAGCGGAGGAAAAGAAACUAACAAGGAUUCCCCUAGUAACGGCGAGUGAAGCGGGAAGAGCUCAAAUUUGAAAUCUGGUAGCCUUCGGUUGCCCGAGUUGUAAUCUAGAGAAGUGUUUUCCGUGCCGGCCCAUGUACAAGUCCCUUGGAACAGGGCGUCAUAGAGGGUGAGAAUCCCGUCCUUGACAUGGACCCCCGGUGCUUUGUGAUACACUUUCAACGAGUCGAGUUGUUUGGGAAUGCAGCUCAAAAUGGGUGGUGAAUUCCAUCUAAAGCUAAAUAUUGGCGAGAGACCGAUAGCGAACAAGUACCGUGAGGGAAAGAUGAAAAGCACUUUGGAAAGAGAGUUAAACAGUACGUGAAAUUGUUGAAAGGGAAACGAUUGAAGUCAGUCAUGCUCUUGGGACUUACCUCCCUUGAGUGGGGUCAACAUCAGUUUUGAUCGAUGGAUAAAGGCACUAGGAAGGUAGCACUCUCGGGUGAACUUAUAGCCUAGCGUCAUAUACAUUGAUUGGGACUGAGGAACGCAGCAUGCCUUUUGGCCGGGAUUCGUCCACGUACAUGCUUAGG